UGAGGAAUAUUGGUCAAUGGGCGUAAGCCUGAACGAGCCAUCCCGCGUGAAGGAUGAAGGCCUUCGGGUUGUAAACUCCUUUUCUUAGGGAAAAUGAUGAUGGUACCUAAGGAAUAAGCCACGGCUAACUCUGUGCCAGCAGCCGCGGUAAGACAGAGGUGGCGAGCGUUGUUCGGAAUUACUGGGCUUAAAGGGCGAGUAGGCGGUGGAGCAAGUCUGAGGUGGAAUCCUAUGGCUUAACCAUAGAACUGCCUUGGAUACUGUUUCACUUGAGUCAGUGAGGGGAGGGCAGAAUUCCCGGUGUAGCGGUGAGAUGCGUAGAUAUCGGGAGGAAGGCCAGUGGCGAAGGCGGCCCUCUGGCGCUGAACUGACGCUGAGGCGCGAAAGCGUGGGGAGCAAACAGGAUUAGAUACCCUGGUAGUCCACGCCCUAAACGGUGGGCAUUAGGUGUAGGGUCCGUAAGGGUUCUGUGCCGAAGGGAAACCAUUAAAUGCCCCGCCUGGGGAGUACGGCCGCAAGGUUG
RNAcentral lists this ribosomal RNA (523 nucleotides) under uncultured bacterium. RNAcentral describes it as "bacterial SSU rRNA". It matches the Rfam family "Bacterial small subunit ribosomal RNA", at positions 355 to 896 of the family's 1533-position model. The record is from RNAcentral.